Molecule: ribosomal RNA, 1346 nt
Filed under: uncultured bacterium
Lineage: Bacteria
Description: partial 16S ribosomal RNA
Rfam family: Bacterial small subunit ribosomal RNA
Source: RNAcentral
GACGAACGCUGGCGGCGUGCUUAACACAUGCAAGUCGAACGGAAAGGCCCUGCUUUUGUGGGGUGCUCGAGUGGCGAACGGGUGAGUAACACGUGAGUAACCUGCCCUUGACUUUGGGAUAACUUCAGGAAACUGGGGCUAAUACCGGAUAGGAGCUCCUGCUGCAUGGUGGGGGUUGGAAAGUUUCGGCGGUUGGGGAUGGACUCGCGGCUUAUCAGCUUGUUGGUGGGGUAGUGGCUUACCAAGGCUUUGACGGGUAGCCGGCCUGAGAGGGUGACCGGCCACAUUGGGACUGAGAUACGGCCCAGACUCCUACGGGAGGCAGCAGUGGGGAAUAUUGCACAAUGGGCGGAAGCCUGAUGCAGCAACGUCGCGUGCGGGAUGACGGCCUUCGGGUUGUAAACCGCUUUCGCCUGUGACGAAGCGUGAGUGACGGUAAUGGGUAAAGAAGCACCGGCUAACUACGUGCCAGCAGCCGCGGUGAUACGUAGGGUGCGAGCGUUGUCCGGAUUUAUUGGGCGUAAAGGGCUCGUAGGUGGUUGAUCGCGUCGGAAGUGUAAUCUUGGGGCUUAACCCUGAGCGCGCUUUCGAUACGGGUUGACUUGAGGAAGGUAGGGGAGAAUGGAAUUCCUGGUGGAGCGGUGGAAUGCGCAGAUAUCAGGAGGAACACCAGUGGCGAAGGCGGUUCUCUGGGCCUUUCCUGACGCUGAGGAGCGAAAGCGUGGGGAGCGAACAGGCUUAGAUACCCUGGUAGUCCACGCUGUAAACGGUGGGUACUAGGUGUGGGGUCCAUUCCACGGGUUCCGUGCCGUAGCUAACGCUUUAAGUACCCCGCCUGGGGAGUACGGCCGCAAGGCUAAAACUCAAAGGAAUUGACGGGGCCCCGCACAAGCGGCGGAGCAUGCGGAUUAAUUCGAUGCAACGCGUAGAACCUUACCUGGGUUUGACAUGGAUCGGGAGUGCUCAGAGAUGGGUGUGCCUCUUUUGGGGUCGGUUCACAGGUGGUGCAUGGCUGUCGUCAGCUCGUGUCGUGAGAUGCUGGGUUAAGUCCCGCAACGAGCGCAACCCUUGUUCACUGUUGCCAGCACGUUAUGGUGGGGACUCAGUGGAGACCGCCGGGGUCAACUCGGAGGAAGGUGGGGAUGACGUCAAGUCAUCAUGCCCCUUAUGUCCAGGGCUUCACGCAUGCUACAAUGGCUGGUACAGAGAGUGGCGAGCCUGUGAGGGUGAGCGAAUCUCGGAAAGCCGGUCUCAGUUCGGAUUGGGGUCUGCAACUCGACCUCAUGAAGUCGGAGUCGCUAGUAAUCGCAGAUCAGCAACGCUGCGGUGAAUACGUUCCCGGGGCU